Molecule: ribosomal RNA, 1033 nt
Filed under: Niceforonia sp. QCAZ 45959
Lineage: Eukaryota; Metazoa; Chordata; Amphibia; Anura; Strabomantidae
Description: partial large subunit ribosomal RNA
Rfam family: Bacterial large subunit ribosomal RNA
Source: RNAcentral
UCAAGAAAAGAAUUUAAGUUCACCUAAAGUUACAACAAUUUUCACAAAAAAAACAUUAACUUUAGAGUUAUUCAAACAAGGUACAGCUUAUUUGAACCAGGACACAACCUACUCCAAUGGGUAACUCAAGGACUUACACAACUAAGUAGGCCUAAAAGCAGCCACCUUAAAAAGCGUCAAAGCUUACCUGUUUUUUCCUCCAAUCCCCCUAAUUUUAACUAACCCUUCAACUUUACUGAAUACUUCUAUAUCUUUAUAGAACUUUUUAUGUUAAAACUAGUAAUAAGAAGAAGCCCUUCUCUCCAAUGCAAACUUAAAUCAUAAUAACCCGAAUGACAAUUAAUAGCUUAAAAUAGUAACUUCACCAGAAAACUCUAUACUCCACCCUAUUAACCUAACACAAGAGCAUCAAAAGAAAGAUUAAAAGAAAAAGAAGGAACUCGGCAAAUAUAGACCCCGCCUGUUUACCAAAAACAUCGCCUCCCGAAACCAUGGGAGGUCCAGCCUGCCCAGUGACUCUGUUCAACGGCCGCGGUAUCCUAACCGUGCGAAGGUAGCGUAAUCACUUGUCUUUUAAAUAAAGACUAGUAUGAAAGGCACCACGAAGGUCUAACUGUCUCCUUUUUCCAAUCAAUGAAACUAAUCCCCUCGUGAAAAAGCGAGAAUUAAUCUAUUAGACGAGAAGACCCUAUGGAGCUUUAAACACAAUAAUUUUGCUGUCCCCCCUUCCCUUCCAGAACUUUCCCUUCCCCCAGCAAACAAUUAUUAGUUUUAGGUUGGGACGACCACGGAGAAAAACUUAUCCUCCACGUUGAACCGGAUUAUAUCCUAAUCAACAAGCUACAACUUUAUGAAUCAAUAAAUUGACCUCCAUUGACCCAAUAUAUUUGAUCAACGAACUAAGUUACCCUAGGGAUAACAGCGCAAUCCGCUUUAAGAGCCCCUAUCGACAGGCGGGUUUACGACCUCGAUGUUGGAUCAGGGUAUCCUAGUGGUGCAGCCGCUACUAAAGGUUCGUUUGUUCAACGAUUAA